GACGAACGCUGGCGGCGUGCUUAACACAUGCAAGUCGAACGGAAAGGCCCUGCUUUUGUGGGGUGCUCGAGUGGCGAACGGGUGAGUAACACGUGAGUAACCUGCCCUUGACUUUGGGAUAACUUCAGGAAACUGGGGCUAAUACCGGAUAGGAGCUCCUGCCGCAUGGUGGGGGUUGGAAAGUUUCGGCGGUUGGGGAUGGACUCGCGGCUUAUCAGCUUGUUGGUGGGGUAGUGGCUUACCAAGGCUUUGACGGGUAGCCGGCCUGAGGGGGUGACCGGUCACAUUGGGACUGAGAUACGGCCCAGACUCCUACGGGAGGCAGCAGUGGGGAAUAUUGCACAAUGGGCGGAAGCCUGAUGCAGCAACGCCGCGUGCGGGAUGACGGCCUUCGGGUUGUAAACCGCUUUCGCCUGUGACGAAGCGUGAGUGACGGUAAUGGGUAAAGAAGCACCGGCUAACUACGUG
RNAcentral lists this ribosomal RNA (468 nucleotides) under uncultured bacterium. Its description in RNAcentral is "partial 16S ribosomal RNA". It matches the Rfam family "Bacterial small subunit ribosomal RNA", at positions 28 to 507 of the family's 1533-position model. The record is from RNAcentral.